Molecule: long non-coding RNA, 1625 nt
Organism: Anopheles stephensi (Asian malaria mosquito)
Lineage: Eukaryota; Metazoa; Arthropoda; Insecta; Diptera; Culicidae
Exons: 3
Source: RefSeq, a predicted model, not a curated record
GUACAGUGCAGAAGAAGGCACGCUGUGCAACGGAACGGCUGAGCUGGAGAAUUCGCACCGCAGCAGAGACAAGAACAAAAAACUAGUUUCAAAACUUUCAAAUCUUUCGCGUGUAACGGACGUGCCCGUCCGAGUGAUUCGACGAGUGCUUCCGCUGGACUUUGAUUUGUUCUAAAGCGGGACCCCAUUAUCGUACUAUCGUAGGUGACAGCAUAACUGCAGCAUAAACGUUUAAUUAAAUUAGGCUCGCAUCGGCCCGGUGCGUGUACCAGCUUGCGUUGCGUGCGUGUACCACGUGACGCACAUACACGCACAUAUUUUUGUGCAUAUAAUCCCACUAGAUGUGCGUACGUGUUUGUGUUUGUAUAUGUAUCUGUGUGUGUGCAUGUGUCUGUAAGUGUAGCAGUUAUAAGAGCGGGAGUGUUUGUUUAGACGUAGCAAUAGGCAGCAAACAAGCAAACCAAAUCCCCCUGUACAGUGAGUGUCCAACGUUUCGGUGAAAAACGAAAAUCGCUUCCCCUGACUUUGCAGAAAGCCGGCCCCAAGAAACGUGACCCGAAACGUGAUAGGGGCAAAGAGGUGUGUGUAUGUGUGGUGGUUUAUAGAAAAGGUUCGAUGUUUGAUUGAAGUCAAACGAUACACAACCGUGCAACUUGCGGAUAAACAAUAGCUAAGCGCUGGCCAAGUGUUGUAACUAGCUUUAAACAAAGUUUCGAACGUGAGAAAGAGAGAGAAAAAAAGUAAGAAAACAUUAAGUUGCACUGUUGAAAUGUAAAAAACGCACACCGAAAGCAAAACAAAGCACAGAAAUAAGAAAAACGUGUGUAAAACAAAACAAAACAACAAAACAAAAGAAGGGAAGAAGUUGAAAAGAGAAGAAAUAAUAGUAGAAGAAAUUUCCUUCACUAAAGCGUGCCUUGAGUGUUGCAAAUAAAAGCAAAAAAAAAAAGAGAAGAAGAAGUAAAGAGUGCAACAAAAAAUAAAGUGUAACCCGAAAGUGAAAGAAGAGUGUAAGCAGAAGGGAAAGAUAAAAGUUCCAGCAUAAAUUGAAUUCGAUGCAAAGGAAGUGUGUGCGUGAGUUUGAUUUUUUCCUGUUUCGGGGGCGCCACUCGUGUAGCGAUUGUGUAAAAGUAAAAAGUAAGAAAAAAAUCGUAAGAAGGGAGCAAAGAGCAAGCAAGAAAAAAUCUAUCAAGAAAGCAAAGUGUGAGCAAAACCGGGCAGGUGAAAAUUGCGCUCGGUUCGUGUUUCCUUGUGAAGGUUGGUUUUUUUUCGCCUGUGUUCCGGCGUUCUGUGUUUGUGUGUGUGUGGUGCUGUGUGCGAGUCAGCACCAGGAAGAAUUUCCGUGCUGGACCUGCUCCUUCCGUAGCACGUUAUCCUGCGACCGGAGCGGAAAUGGCAUCGAUUCGAGCACAACCACCGCGACCGGUGCGGGCGAUGGCGUUGCUGUUGGUGAUUGCAUCGCUCCUGGCGACCAGUUGCACAGCCGAUGAAGCCGUUACAGGUAGGUGUGCUAUCGUGAUGAAAUAUCUUUUGCUUCGCUGUGAAGGUGACUGAAUCGACAUGAAAAGUUUGCUAAACGACUAGUCACGUGAGUUGGAUGGAUUUGAUUCUUUCAAGGUUUUUUU